AGUAAGGUGAUUUCUGACUGGUAGUCCACAAUGAUGGUAGAGUUGGAAAAAACACAUAGUUUAGCAGAUCAUAUAUCAUAUCUUAUAUAAAUAAACAAAUGCAUGAAAAAUUUGCAAAUCGAUGCAUAGGCUACCAAGUUCAAUACAUGUAGUAUUGAUAACCAAUCCGUUCGAAAAAAAAAUUCAGUAUUUUCUGGUAUGUUCAAUACAGGGGAAUUUUAUUUAGCUAUUAAAUGAGACUUUACUGCAGCUAAAUAUUUCUUCUUUUUCCAAAUGUUUGCAAAUUUAAGAUAUUUUUCUGUUGUUGCAGGACAUAAUACUUCAGCUUGUCUCUGGAGUUAUAUGUUAUAACAAUACAAUUGAUUAGAGCUGUUUUCAUUAAGGUCAGUAAUGCUAAAUCUUUCUUUCUAGUGUACUUGUUUGGGAGGUCUUUCAGUACUUACGUGGACUGGGAUAAGGCUGUCUUUAGCUGGAGGUAAGACUUGCU
RNAcentral lists this long non-coding RNA (487 nucleotides) under Phoenix dactylifera (date palm). Its description in RNAcentral is "long non-coding RNA (PDAC_LNC013833)". The record is from RNAcentral. Lineage: Eukaryota; Viridiplantae; Streptophyta; Magnoliopsida; Arecales; Arecaceae.